This is a small nucleolar RNA of 69 nucleotides. It matches the Rfam family "Trypanosomatid snoRNA TB9Cs2H1".
GGCUCACUAUGGAGUUGUGUCUUGGCCGAACAUAUUGUGGCCCUGUUAGCACACUCACGUGCGCCGAGA